UACGCUGGUGGAAUCAUUGCACCGUAUUUUUCAAAGAUGCUGUUGGACGCAACGUUACGGUGAAUGGCGAUCGCUAUCGUUCGAUGCUAACAAACUUUUUGUUGCCAAAAAUGGAAGAACUGAACUUGGUUGACAUGUGGUUUCAACAAGAUGGCGCUACAUGCCACACAGCUCGCGAUUCUAUGGCCAUUUUGAGGGAAAACUUCGGAGAACAAUUCAUCUCAAGAAAUGGACCCGUAAGUUGGCCACCAAGAUCAUGCGAUUUAACGCCUUUAGACUAUUUUUUGUGGGGCUACGUCAAUCUAAAGUCUACAGAAAUAAGCCAGCAACUAUUCCAGCUUUGGAAGACAACAUUUCCGAAGAAAUUCGGGCUAUUCCGGCCGAAAUGCUCGAAAAAGUUGCCCAAAAUUGGACUUUCCGAAUGGACCACCUAAGACGCAGCCGCGGUCAACAUUUAAAUGAAAUUAUCUUCAAAAAGUAAAUGUCAUGAACCAAUCUAACGUUUCAAAUAAAGAACCGAUGAGAUUUUGCAAA
Bactrocera neohumeralis is the source of this 534-nucleotide long non-coding RNA. RefSeq lists it as uncharacterized. Lineage: Eukaryota; Metazoa; Arthropoda; Insecta; Diptera; Tephritidae. The record is from RefSeq and is a predicted model, not a curated record. The transcript has 2 exons.